RNAcentral lists this ribosomal RNA (253 nucleotides) under uncultured bacterium. RNAcentral's name for it is "partial 16S ribosomal RNA". It matches the Rfam family "Bacterial small subunit ribosomal RNA", at positions 524 to 776 of the family's 1533-position model. The record is from RNAcentral.
UACCAGCACCCCGAGUGGUCGGCACGAUUAUUGGGCGUAAAGAGCUCGUAGGCGGUUUGUCGCGUCUGCUGUGAAAACUCGGGGCUUAACUCCGGGCCUGCAGUGGGUACGGGCAGACUAGAGUGCGGUAGGGGAGACUGGAAUUCCUGGUGUAGCGGUGAAAUGCGCAGAUAUCAGGAGGAACACCGGUGGCGAAGGCGGGUCUCUGGGCCGUAACUGACGCUGAGGAGCGAAAGCGUGGGGAGCGAACAGG